ACGCACGCUGGCGGCGUGCUUCACCCCUGCAAGUCGCACGGAAAGGCCCUGCUUUUGUGGGGUGCUCGAGUGGCGAACGGGUGAGUAACACGUGAGUAACCUGCCCUUGACUUUGGGAUAACUUCAGGAAACUGGGGCUAAUACCGGAUAGGAGCUCCUGCUGCAUGGUGGGGGUUGGAAAGUUUCGGCGGUUGGGGAUGGACUCGCGGCUUAUCAGCUUGUUGGUGGGGUAGUGGCUUACCAAGGCUUUGACGGGUAGCCGGCCUGAGAGGGUGACCGGCCACAUUGGGACUGAGAUACGGCCCAGACUCCUACGGGAGGCAGCAGUGGGGAAUAUUGCACAAUGGGCGGAAGCCUGAUGCAGCAAUGCCGCGUGCGGGAUGACGGCCUUCGGGUUGUAAACCGCUUUCGCCUGUGACGAAGCGUGAGUGACGGUAAUGGGUAAAGAAGCACCGGCUAACUACGUG
Molecule: ribosomal RNA, 467 nt
Filed under: uncultured bacterium
Lineage: Bacteria
Description: partial 16S ribosomal RNA
Rfam family: Bacterial small subunit ribosomal RNA
Source: RNAcentral